UACGUAGGUGGCAAGCGUUUAUCCGGAAUUAUUGGGCGUAAAGCGCUCGCAGGCGGUUUCUUAAGUCUGAUGUGAAAGCCCACGGCUCAACCGUGGAGGGUCAUUGGAAACUGGGAGACUUGAGUGCAGAAGAGGAGAGUGGAAUUCCACGUGUAGCGGUGAAAUGCGUAGAGAUGUGGAGGAACACCAGUGGCGAAGGCGACUCUCUGGUCUGUAACUGACGCUGAGGAGCGAAAGCGUGGGGAGCAAACAGG
RNAcentral lists this ribosomal RNA (254 nucleotides) under uncultured bacterium. RNAcentral's name for it is "partial 16S ribosomal RNA". It matches the Rfam family "Bacterial small subunit ribosomal RNA", at positions 524 to 776 of the family's 1533-position model. The record is from RNAcentral.